RNAcentral lists this ribosomal RNA (266 nucleotides) under uncultured Staphylococcus sp. RNAcentral's name for it is "partial 16S ribosomal RNA". It matches the Rfam family "Bacterial small subunit ribosomal RNA", at positions 96 to 354 of the family's 1533-position model. The record is from RNAcentral. Lineage: Bacteria; Bacillati; Bacillota; Bacilli; Caryophanales; Staphylococcaceae.
CGGCGGACGGGUGAGUAACAAGUGGAUAACCUACCUAUAAGACUGGGAUAACUUCGGGAAACCGGAGCUAAUACCGGAUAAUAUAUUGAACCGCAUGGUUCAAUGGUGAAAGACGGUUUUGCUGUCACUUAUAGAUGGAUCCGCGCCGCAUUAGCUAGUUGGUAAGGUAACGGUUUACCAAGGCAACGAUGCGUAGCCGACCUGAGAGGGUGAUCGGCCACACUGGAACUGAGACACGGUCCAGACUCCUACGGGAGGCAGCAGAA